This is an unclassified non-coding RNA of Vulpes vulpes (red fox), 307 nucleotides long. Its record names the gene 7SK. It matches the Rfam family "7SK RNA". Rfam says of the family: 7SK was discovered as an abundant small nuclear RNA in the mid-70s but a possible function has only recently been suggested. NCBI's taxonomy places the organism in Eukaryota, Metazoa, Chordata, Mammalia, Carnivora, Canidae. The record is from Ensembl.
GGAUGUGAGGGCGAUCUGGCAACAACAUCUGUUGCCCCCUUGAUCGCCACGGUUGGUUCGGCUGAUCUGGCAGGCUAGGUGGGUGUCCUCCUCCCCAAAGCUGCCUCUUCAAUCCUAGAAGAUGACCUUCCCCAACAGAGGAAGACUGCUCAUGGGUCAAGGGUAUAUGAGUAGCUGCGCUCCUCUGCUAGAAUCUCCAAACAGGCUCUCAAAAGUUAAUCGAUCAUUCAUUCAUAAAAGGGAAAGACAACUGAUAAUUUGAAAAUGAAAACACAUUUGAAAACUAGCAACAUUCUUAUGUUUGUUU